This 425-nucleotide ribosomal RNA is filed under the name uncultured bacterium. RNAcentral describes it as "partial 16S ribosomal RNA". It matches the Rfam family "Bacterial small subunit ribosomal RNA", at positions 354 to 796 of the family's 1533-position model. The record is from RNAcentral.
GUGGGGAAUCUUAGACAAUGGGCGCAAGCCUGAUCUAGCCAUGCCGCGUGAGCGAUGAAGGCCUUAGGGUUGUAAAGCUCUUUCGUGGGGGAAGAUAAUGACUGUACCCCAAGAAGAAGCCCCGGCUAACUCCGUGCCAGCAGCCGCGGUAAUACGGAGGGGGCUAGCGUUGUUCGGAAUUACUGGGCGUAAAGCGCACGUAGGCGGACUGGAAAGUCAGGGGUGAAAUCCCGGGGCUCAACCCCGGAACUGCCGUUGAAACACCCAGUCUUGAGUUCGAGAGAGGUGAGUGGAAUUCCGAGUGUAGAGGUGAAAUUCGUAGAUAUUCGGAGGAACACCAGUGGCGAAGGCGGCUCACUGGCUCGAUACUGACGCUGAGGUGCGAAAGCGUGGGGAGCAAACAGGAUUAGAAACCCGAGUAGUCC